AGUGAACGCUGGCGGCAGGCCUAACACAUGCAAGUCGAACGGCAGGACAGUAAGUGCCUGCUCUCACCGGUGGCGAGUGGCGGAAGGGGGACGAAUAUAACGGAAUCUACCCUUCCGUGGGGGACUAAGUAGGUAGACCUACGCUCAUACCGCAUACGACCUACGGGUGGAAGCAGGGGAUCUUUGGAUCUUUCGCGAUUGAAUCAGCCGAUGCCGGAUUUGUUAGUUGGCGGGGUAACGGCCCACCAAGCCGACGAUCCGUAGCUGGUCUGAGAGGAUGAUCAGCCACACUGGAACUGAGACACGGUCCAGACUCCUACGGGAGGCAGCAGUGGGGAAUAUUGGACAAUGGGCGCAAGCCUGAUCCAGCCAUACCGCGUGGGUGAAGAAGGCCUUCGGGUUGUAAAGCCCUUUUGUUGGGAAAGAAAAGCAGCAGGUUAAUACCCCGCUGUUCUGACGGUACCCAAAGAAUAAGCACCGGCUAACUUCGUG
Molecule: ribosomal RNA, 492 nt
Filed under: uncultured bacterium
Lineage: Bacteria
Description: partial 16S ribosomal RNA
Rfam family: Bacterial small subunit ribosomal RNA
Source: RNAcentral